Molecule: long non-coding RNA, 482 nt
Organism: Rhineura floridana
Lineage: Eukaryota; Metazoa; Chordata; Lepidosauria; Squamata; Rhineuridae
Exons: 4
Source: RefSeq, a predicted model, not a curated record
GAGAUCCAGCCACCUCCCAAGGCAGCCUGUUCCACUGUUGAAACAGUUCCUACUGUUAAGAAGGCUGGAGGUGACCUAAGUCUUGUUCCUCAAGAGAGGUUUGUGGCAGAACAACAACAAACAAACAACAACACCCUGAAGUGAGGCGGCAGCCUUGGUUUCCUUUUGCCAUUACAUUCUCCAGCAGAAAGAGGAGUUAGGUGCAUGAAUCCUGACUGCCAACCUUAGCUACUAAAUCAGCCUCUGGAAUCUGCACUUUUCUGAAAUUUGGACGUCAACCACUGUAGAACUGCAGAUCAAACUAAACAUGACACUAACAGUGCAGUCCUUUAUAUGCCUACUCACAAGUUUAAUGGGACUCCCAGCCACAAAAGACUUCCCCAUAGUAAAUCCGAGUUCACGUGGGUAACUGAUCAAGACCUGACAGAUACAGAGAGGUGAAAAAUGUGCUUGGGAUUCCAGUCCUCUGAAAACCAUUCUUU